RNAcentral lists this ribosomal RNA (459 nucleotides) under uncultured bacterium. RNAcentral's name for it is "partial 16S ribosomal RNA". It matches the Rfam family "Bacterial small subunit ribosomal RNA", at positions 338 to 795 of the family's 1533-position model. The record is from RNAcentral.
CCUACGGGCGGCAGCAGUGAGGAAUAUUGGUCAAUGGCCGAGAGGCUGAACCAGCCAAGUCGCGUGAGGGAAGACGGCCCUACGGGUUGUAAACCUCUUUUGUCGGGGAGCAAAGCGAGUCACGUGUGACCCAUCGAGAGUACCCGAAGAAAAAGCAUCGGCUAACCCCGUGCCAGCAGCCGCGGUAAUACCGAGGAUGCGAGCGUUAUCCGGAUUUAUUGGGUUUAAAGGGUGCGCAGGCGGAGGUGUAAGUCAGCGGUCAAAUUUCGGGGCUCAACCCCGUACUGCCGUUGAAACUGGAUGCCUUGAGUGCGCGAGAAGUAUGCGGAAUGCGUGGUGUAGCGGUGAAAUGCAUAGAUAUCACGCAGAACUCCGAUUGCGAAGGCAGCAUACCGGCGCGCGACUGACGCUGAUGCACGAAAGCGUGGGUAUCGAACAGGAUUAGAUACCCCGGUAGUC